CGGGGCUCUCAAUCCUGAUCCGCUGCGUCGGUGACUGUUGAGUGCCCCUGCUCGAGCUUGAAUAAAUGACCCUCGUGUGUUUACAUCGGAAUCAGCUCCUUGGUGGUCUUUGGGGACCUCGCGAUCUGGGCACAACAGAACUACUACAGGGCUGCUGCUGCAGAAAUGAAUAAUUGCCCUAAAGAUCAUCUGGCCUGCAAAACUGAGUAUGUUUACUAGCUGGCUCUUCACAGAAAAAGUGUGAGGACUCUGUCUGCCUUAGGACCACCACUCCAAGGAGGAUGGCAGUUAGGAUGGCCCUGCUUCGGUAAUUGUUUCGGGCCCUAUCAUGGGAACUCAGGGCAGAGCGAUGAACACGGACAGGGAGGAGUGCCUGUUCUCAGGGGCUGGCCAUCCUACUGGCGGGAGCAGGAGGAAACACCUAAGAGCACUGGAUAGCAUGUUCCUGACAAUUCAGAGUAGAGACCAGUAAAUCCAGAAGUCUGAACUUGGAAACAGCCCAAUUGCCCAUCAGUUGGAGACUUGGAGACUGGAUGAAGAAAAUGUGUUUUUUUAUAAAAUGAAGUACCACUCAGCCAUAAAGAAUGAGAAGCUAGAGACAUUUAUAGCUAAAUGGAUGCACAUUGAGGCCAUACUCUUAAGUGAAAUAAAUAGGACAUAUGUGUAAAUAUCGAAUCGUUUCUCUGGUGUGAGAAACAAAGUGUAAAUAAGGAUCAAAAUGUACAAUAGAUAAUGUGAAAUACAAAGAAAAGGUGCAAAGGGG
Heterocephalus glaber (naked mole-rat) is the source of this 763-nucleotide long non-coding RNA. NCBI's taxonomy places the organism in Eukaryota, Metazoa, Chordata, Mammalia, Rodentia, Bathyergidae. The record is from Ensembl.